Long non-coding RNA from Rhipicephalus sanguineus (brown dog tick), 556 nucleotides. RefSeq lists it as uncharacterized. Lineage: Eukaryota; Metazoa; Arthropoda; Arachnida; Ixodida; Ixodidae. The record is from RefSeq and is a predicted model, not a curated record. The transcript is spliced from 3 exons.
UCCAAUAUAUUCGACAUUGCAACACAGCGCACCGCGGCUUUCCAAGCGCUUUCCUCCUCCCGGAAAGCGUUUCCUCGGCUGCUUGUGGGACCCGUGCUGCCAUCUAGUUAAUGUGGUCAAUGUCGGCGUGUUUCCCGCCUCUCAGGAGCACUCGAAAUGGCGGGAUUGAGCACGAACGAUUUUUGCGGCUGCCGCCUAAGAAGCUCCGUGUGAGUGAUGCCACGGCUGAGAAAAUCUUGGAGAGAAUUGCAGAGCGGGACACCUCAGACUUGGACCUCUCGGACAGUGAUGACGACUCUGCUGAAGACUUCGUGUUCACUUCAUCGGUCCUGCACAAUGAGUCAAGUUCUGAAGAUGAAGAUACAAUUAAUGAAGGCUCCCCUGUGGCGUCGAUCUCCACUUCCACAUCUUUGGGGACGCAAAGACCCAGCCGUUGGAAAAAGACAGAGCGGAUGACAAAUUCGAAGAUGUCAGCUUUUCAGCCCGUCGUCGACAAGCACCACCGUAAAUCAUGGUGUCAUCUUGAUUACUUCAAACAGUACAUUCCGGAUGAGCU